Molecule: unclassified non-coding RNA, 319 nt
Organism: Erinaceus europaeus (western European hedgehog)
Lineage: Eukaryota; Metazoa; Chordata; Mammalia; Eulipotyphla; Erinaceidae
Gene: 7SK
Rfam family: 7SK RNA
About the family: 7SK was discovered as an abundant small nuclear RNA in the mid-70s but a possible function has only recently been suggested. Two independent studies have found that 7SK RNA binds the CDK9/cyclin T complex (known as elongation factor P-TEFb).
Source: Ensembl
GGAUGUGAGGGUGAUCUGGCUACGCCAUCUGUCACCCCACUGAUCGCCAGGGUUGAUUCCGCUGAUCUGGCUGGCUAGGCGGGUGUCCCCUUCCUCCCUCAUUGCUCUGUGUGUGUCCCUCCCGAAGCUGUGUGCUUCUGGAAGGCCUUCCCCAAUAGAGAUGGCUCGGUCUUCAGUUGAGGUAUGUACAGGAGUAGCUGCGCUCCUUUGCUAGAACCUCCAAGCAAGCUCUCAAGAAAAGCAGAGUGAGUAUGACAUUAUAACCCUGUUAUCUUACAAUCUUGUUAAUCAUUAUUAAACCACUAAUAAAAAUUUUUAA